CCUACGGGUGGCAGCAGUAGGGAAUAUUGCACAAUGGGGGAAACCCUGAUGCAGCAACGCCGCGUGGGUGAAGAAGUAUUUCGUUAUGUAAAGCUCUAUCAGCAGAGAAGAAAAUGACGGUACCUGAGUAAUAAGCCCCGGCUAACUCCGUGCCAGCAGCCGCGGUAAUACGUAGGGGGCAAGCGUUAUCCGGAGUUACUGGGUGUAAAGGGAGCGUAGGCGGCAGUGCAAGUCUGGUGUGAAAUGCUGUGGCUUAACUACAGGACUGCUCUGGAAACUGUACGGCUGGAGUGCAGGAGAGGUAAGUGGAAUUCUUAGUGUAGCGGUGAAAUGCGUAGAUAUCAGGAGGAACACUCGUUGCGAAGGCGGCCUACUGGAACGUAACUGACGUUGAUGCACGAAAGCGUGGGGAGCAAACAGGAUUAGAUACCCCAGUAGUC
Molecule: ribosomal RNA, 440 nt
Filed under: uncultured bacterium
Lineage: Bacteria
Description: partial 16S ribosomal RNA
Rfam family: Bacterial small subunit ribosomal RNA
Source: RNAcentral